GACGAACGCUGGCGGCGUGCUUAACACAUGCAAGUCGAACGGAAAGGCCCUGCGUUUGUGGGGUGCUCGAGUGGCGAACGGGGGAGUAACACGUGAGUAACCUGCCCUUGACUUUGGGAUAACUUCAGGAAACUGGGGCUAAUACCGGAUAGGAGCUCCUGCUGCGUGGGGGGGGUUGGAAAGUUUCGGCGGUUGGGGAUGGACUAGCGGCUUAUCAGCUUGUUGGUGGGGUAGUGGCUUACCAAGGCUUUGACGGGUAGCCGGCCUGAGAGGGUGACCGGGCACAAUGGGACUGCGAUACGGCCCAGACUCCUACGGGAGGCAGCAGUGGAGAAUAUUGCACAGUGGGCGGAAGCCUGAUGCAGCGACGCCGCGUUCGUGAUGCCGGCCUUCGGGUUGUAAACCGCUUUCGCCUGUGACGAAGCGUGAGUGACGGUAAUGGGUAAAGAAGCACCGGCUAACUACGUG
Molecule: ribosomal RNA, 468 nt
Filed under: uncultured bacterium
Lineage: Bacteria
Description: partial 16S ribosomal RNA
Rfam family: Bacterial small subunit ribosomal RNA
Source: RNAcentral